GCCGGGCACAGUGGCGCGUGCCUGUAGUCCCAGCUACUCAGGAGGCUGAAGUGGGAGGAUCUCCUGAGCCCAGGAGUUCUGGGCUGUAGUGCGCUAUGCCGAUCGGGUGUCUGCACUAAGUUGGGCAUCAAUAUGGUGACCUCCUGGGAGCGGUGACUACCAGGUUGCCUAAGAAGGGGUGAACCGGCCCAGGUUUGAAACGGAGCAGGGCAAAACUCUCAUGCUGAUCAGUAGUGGGAUGAUGUCUGUGAAUAGCCACUGCACUCCAGCCUAGGCAACAUAGCGAGACCCCCUCUCU
Molecule: signal recognition particle RNA, 298 nt
Filed under: Saimiri boliviensis boliviensis (Bolivian squirrel monkey)
Lineage: Eukaryota; Metazoa; Chordata; Mammalia; Primates; Cebidae
Description: Metazoan signal recognition particle RNA (ENSSBOG00000000789.1)
Rfam family: Metazoan signal recognition particle RNA
About the family: The signal recognition particle (SRP) is a universally conserved ribonucleoprotein. It is involved in the co-translational targeting of proteins to membranes.
Source: RNAcentral